UACGGCCUAGUAUUAGAUGUAUAGAAGUUUUUGAUAUUUCAGGGGGCAGUUUAAGUCUGCCGGGCGUAA
This 69-nucleotide transfer RNA is filed under the name Sagra femorata. RNAcentral's name for it is "tRNA-Gln". The record is from RNAcentral. Lineage: Eukaryota; Metazoa; Arthropoda; Insecta; Coleoptera; Chrysomelidae.